Molecule: ribosomal RNA, 420 nt
Filed under: bacterium
Lineage: Bacteria
Description: partial 16S ribosomal RNA
Rfam family: Bacterial small subunit ribosomal RNA
Source: RNAcentral
UGGGGGAUAUUGCACAAUGGGCGAAAGCCUGAUGCAGCGACGCCGCGUGGGGGAUGAAGGCUUUCGGGUUGCAAACCUCUUUCGCUAUCGAACAAGGCCCGCUUAGGGUGGGUUGAGGGUAGGUGGAGAAGAAGCGCCGGCUAACUACGUGCCAGCAGCCGCGGUAAUACGUAGGGCGCGAGCGUUGUCCGGAAUUAUUGGGCGUAAAGGGCUUGUAGGCGGCUUGUUGCGCCUGCUGUGAAAACGCGGGGCUUAACUUCGCGCGUGCAGUGGGUACGGGCAGGCUUGAGUGUGGUAGGGGUGACUGGAAUUCCAGGUGUAGCGGUGGAAUGCGCAGAUAUCUGGAGGAACACCGAUGGCGAAGGCAGGUCACUGGGCCAUUACUGACGCUGAGGAGCGAAAGCAUGGGUAGCGAACAGG